GAUGAACGCUGGCGGCGUGCCUAAUACAUGCAAGUCGAGCGAACAGACGAGGAGCUUGCUCCUCUGACGUUAGCGGCGGACGGGUGAGUAACACGUGGAUAACCUCCCUAUAAGACUGGGAUAACUUCGGGAAACCGGAGCUAAUACCGGAUAAUAUAUUGAACCGCAUGGUUCAAUAGUGAAAGACGGUUUUGCUGUCACUUAUAGAUGGAUCCGCGCCGCAUUAGCUAGUUGGUAAGGUAACGGCUUACCAAGGCAACGAUGCGUAGCCGACCUGAGAGGGUGAUCGGCCACACUGGAACGGAGACGCGGUCCAGACUCCUACGGGAGGCAGCAGUAGGGAAUCUUCCGCAAUGGGCGAAAGCCUGACGGAGCAACGCCGCGUGAGUGAUGAAGGUCUUCGGAUCGUAAAACUCUGUUAUUAGGGAAGAACAAAUGUGUAAGUAACUAUGCACGUCUUGACGGUACCUAAUCAGAAAGCCACGGCUAACUACGUG
Molecule: ribosomal RNA, 497 nt
Filed under: uncultured bacterium
Lineage: Bacteria
Description: partial 16S ribosomal RNA
Rfam family: Bacterial small subunit ribosomal RNA
Source: RNAcentral